Molecule: ribosomal RNA, 305 nt
Filed under: uncultured bacterium
Lineage: Bacteria
Description: bacterial SSU rRNA
Rfam family: Bacterial small subunit ribosomal RNA
Source: RNAcentral
UUUUUCCUACGGGAGGCAGCAGUGGGGAAUAUUGGGCAAUGGGCGAAAGCCUGACCCAGCAACGCCGCGUGAAGGAAGAAGGCUUUCGGGUUGUAAACUUCUUUUAUGAGGGACGAAAGAAAUGACGGUACCUCAUGAAUAAGCCACGGCUAACUACGUGCCAGCAGCCGCGGUAAUGCGUAGGUGGCAAGCGUUAUCCGGAUUUACUGGGUGUAAAGGGCGUGUAGGCGGGACUGCAAGGCAGAUGUGAAAAUUAUGUGCUCAACCCAUAACCUGCAUUUGACACUGUAGUUCUUGAGUGAAGG